RNAcentral lists this ribosomal RNA (460 nucleotides) under uncultured bacterium. RNAcentral describes it as "partial 16S ribosomal RNA". It matches the Rfam family "Bacterial small subunit ribosomal RNA", at positions 338 to 795 of the family's 1533-position model. The record is from RNAcentral.
CCUACGGGUGACAGCAGUGAGGAAUAUUGGUCAAUGGGCGGGAGCCUGAACCAGCCACGUAGCGUGCAGGAUGACUGCCCUCCGGGUUGUAAACUGCUUCUAUACGGGAAUAAAGUGACUUACGUGUACGUCUUUGCAUGUACUGUAUGCAUACGGACCGGCUAAUUCCGUGCCAGCAGCCGCGGUAAUACGGAAGGUCCGGGCGUUAUCCGGAUUUCUUGGGUUUAAUGGGAGCGUAGGCGGCAUGUCAAGCCUGUUGUGAAAGGUCGCGGCUCAACCGGGGCCUUGCAUUGGCAACUGGCGGGCUUGAGUGCAGGGGAGGUAGGCGGAAUUCGUCGGGUAGCGGUGAAAUGCGUAGAUAGGACGAAGAACCCCGAUUGCGAAGGCAGCUUACUGAAGGGUAACUGACGCUGAGGCUCGAAAGCGCGGGUAUCAAACAGGAUUAGAUACCCUAGUAGUC